This 74-nucleotide transfer RNA is filed under the name Clostridia bacterium. RNAcentral's name for it is "tRNA-Val". It matches the Rfam family "tRNA". From Rfam's summary of the family: Transfer RNA (tRNA) molecules are approximately 80 nucleotides in length. Their secondary structure includes four short double-helical elements and three loops (D, anti-codon, and T loops). Further hydrogen bonds mediate the characteristic L-shaped molecular structure. tRNAs have two regions of fundamental functional importance: the anti-codon, which is responsible for specific mRNA codon recognition, and the 3' end, to which the tRNAs corresponding amino acid is attached (by aminoacyl-tRNA synthetases). tRNAs cope with the degeneracy of the genetic code in two manners: having more than one tRNA (with a specific anti-codon) for a particular amino acid; and 'wobble' base-pairing, i.e. permitting non-standard base-pairing at the 3rd anti-codon position. The record is from RNAcentral. Lineage: Bacteria; Bacillati; Bacillota; Clostridia.
GGGUCCAUAGCUCAGCUGGUUAGAGCGCUACGUUGACAUCGUAGAGGUCGAUGGUUCGAGUCCAUUUGGACCCA